GGGGAUGUAGCUCAGUGGUAGAGCGCAUGCUUCGCAUAUAUGAGGCCCCGGGUUCAAUCCCCGGCAUCUCCA
This is a non-coding RNA of Xenopus tropicalis (tropical clawed frog), 72 nucleotides long. Lineage: Eukaryota; Metazoa; Chordata; Amphibia; Anura; Pipidae. The record is from Rfam.